Molecule: transfer RNA, 89 nt
Filed under: Pseudomonadota bacterium
Lineage: Bacteria; Pseudomonadati; Pseudomonadota
Also listed under: 1 other name
Description: tRNA-Leu
Rfam family: tRNA
About the family: Transfer RNA (tRNA) molecules are approximately 80 nucleotides in length. Their secondary structure includes four short double-helical elements and three loops (D, anti-codon, and T loops).
Source: RNAcentral
GCCGGAGUGGCGGAACUGGCAGACGCGCCGGACUCAAAAUCCGGUACGACCAAAAUCGUGUGCGGGUUCGACCCCCGCCUCCGGCACCA